AGGGUUUGAUCCUGGCUCAGAUUGAACGCUGGCGGUAGGCUUAACACAUGCAAGUCGUGCGAGAAAGUAUCUUCGGAUAUGAGUAGAGCGGCGGACGGGUGAGUAACGCGUAGGAAUCUACCUAGUAGAAGGGGAUAGCCCGAGGAAACUCGGAUUAAUACCGUAUACCUCCUUCGGGAGAAAGAGGGCCUCUCUUUGAAGCUUUCGCUACUAGAUGAGCCUGCGUAAGAUUAGCUUGUUGGUGAGGUAAAGGCUCACCAAGGCUACGAUCUUUAGCGGGUCUGAGAGGACGAUCCGCCACAUUGGGACUGAGACACGGCCCAGACUCCUACGGGAGGCAGCAGUGGGGAAUAUUGGACAAUGGGCGCAAGCCUGAUCCAGCCAUACCGCGUGUGUGAAGAAGGCCCUAGGGUUGUAAAGCACUUUAAGUUGGGAAGAAAAGUUAUUGGCUAAUAUCCAAUAACCGUGACAUUACCAUCAGAAUAAGGACCGGCUAAUUCCGUGCCAGCAGCCGCGGUAAUAC
Molecule: ribosomal RNA, 523 nt
Filed under: uncultured bacterium
Lineage: Bacteria
Description: bacterial SSU rRNA
Rfam family: Bacterial small subunit ribosomal RNA
Source: RNAcentral